GACGAACGCUGGCGACGUGCUAACACAUGCAAGUCGAACGGAAAGGCCCUGCUUUUGUGGGGUGCUCGAGUGGCGAACGGGUGAGUAACACGUGAGUAACCUGCCCUUGACUUUGGGAUAACUUCAGGAAACUGGGGCUAAUACCGGAUAGGAGCUCCUGCUGCAUGGUGGGGGUUGGAAAGUUUCGGCGGUUGGGGAUGGACUCGCGGCUUAUCAGCUUGUUGGUGGGGUAGUGGCUUACCAAGGCUUUGACGGGUAGCCGGCCUGAGAGGGUGACCGGCCACAUUGGGACUGAGAUACGGCCCAGACUCCUACGGGAGGCAGCAGUGGGGAAUAUUGCACAAUGGGCGGAAGCCUGAUGCAGCAACGCCGCGUGCGGGAUGACGGCCUUCGGGUUGUAAACCGCUUUCGCCUGUGACGAAGCGUGAGUGACGGUAAUGGGUAAAGAAGCACCGGCUAACUACGUG
Molecule: ribosomal RNA, 467 nt
Filed under: uncultured bacterium
Lineage: Bacteria
Description: partial 16S ribosomal RNA
Rfam family: Bacterial small subunit ribosomal RNA
Source: RNAcentral